UACGAAGGGGGCUAGCGUUGCUCGGAAUUACUGGGCGUAAAGCGCGCGUAGGCGGUUUGCUAAGUCAGGGGUGAAAUCCCCGGGCUUAACCUGGGAACUGCGCUUGUAACUGGCAGGCUUGAGUGCGGCAGAGGGGGGUGGAAUUCCACGUGUAGCAGUGAAAUGCGUAGAGAUGUGGAGGAACACCGAUGGCGAAGGCAGCCCCCUGGGUCGACACUGACGCUCAUGCACGAAAGCGUGGGGAGCAAACAGG
Molecule: ribosomal RNA, 253 nt
Filed under: uncultured bacterium
Lineage: Bacteria
Description: partial 16S ribosomal RNA
Rfam family: Bacterial small subunit ribosomal RNA
Source: RNAcentral